RNAcentral lists this long non-coding RNA (210 nucleotides) under Elaeis guineensis (African oil palm). Its description in RNAcentral is "long non-coding RNA (EGUI_LNC045182)". Lineage: Eukaryota; Viridiplantae; Streptophyta; Magnoliopsida; Arecales; Arecaceae. The record is from RNAcentral.
UCUGGGCCUCCCUGAAAUUGCAAGACCCUCCUAGAAGACCUCCCUCUUCGUCAUCCAUUCCCACUACUCGUUGGACCUUAACACUGAGAUGAUCUUCUCGUACACCAGUGUCUCCUUACUAUAUAGCAGCAUCGUCACCAAUAGAUCGAAGCUUCCGGAUAGCAAACAUAAUAGCAGUAAGCUUUUGUCCUCCUCUUCAAGCUCCACCCC